This 253-nucleotide ribosomal RNA is filed under the name uncultured bacterium. RNAcentral's name for it is "partial 16S ribosomal RNA". It matches the Rfam family "Bacterial small subunit ribosomal RNA", at positions 524 to 776 of the family's 1533-position model. The record is from RNAcentral.
UACGGAGGGCUCAAACGUUGUUCGGAAUCACUGGGCAUAAAGAGCACGUAGGCGGCUUGUUAAGUCGGGUGUGAAAUCCCUCGGCUCAACCGGGGAACGGCAUUCGAUACUGGCAAGCUAGAGGACGGAAGGGGUGAGUGGAACUCCAGGUGGAACGGUGAAAUGUGUAGAUAUCUGGAGGAACACCGGUGGCGAAAGCGGCUCACUGGUCCGUAACUGACGCUGAGGUGCGAAAGCUAGGGUAGCAAACGGG